This 1449-nucleotide ribosomal RNA is filed under the name metagenome. RNAcentral describes it as "SSU rRNA". It matches the Rfam family "Eukaryotic small subunit ribosomal RNA", at positions 1 to 1396 of the family's 1831-position model. The record is from RNAcentral.
UCUGGUUGACCCUGCCAGUAGCAUAUGCUUGUCUCUGAGACUAAGCCAUGCAUGUCUAAGUAUAAACAAAUUUGUACUGUGAAACUGCGGACGGCUCAUUAAAUCAGUUACAAUCUACUUGAUCGUAUAUUCAAUGAAUUAAUCGGGUAACCCUAGUAAUUCUAGAGCUAAUACGUGCAAAAAACUCUGACCUCUUUUUAAGGGGGAGGAGUGUAUUUAUUAGGUAAAAAACCACUCACCUUCGGGUGUCUUUUGAUGAUUCAUAAUAACUUAGCAAAUCGCAGGCCAAAGCUUGCGAUGAUACAAACGAGUUUCUGACCUAUCAACUUUAGAUGGCAAAGUAGGGGUUUGCCAUGGUGACAACGGGUGACGGGGAAUUAGGGUUCGAUUCCGGAGAGGGAGCCUGAGAAACGGCUACCACUUCCAAGGAAGGCAGCAGGCGCGCAAAUUACCCAAUACUGAUUCGGUGAGGUAGUGACAAGAAAUACCAAUGUAGGACCCAACGGGUACUACGUUUGGAAUGAGUACAAUUUAAAAACCUUAACGAGGAACAAUUGGAGGGCAAGUCUGGUGCCAGCAGCCGCGGUAAUUCCAGCUCCAAUAGUGUAUAUUAAAGUUGCUGCGGUUAAAAAGCUCGUAGUUGGAUUUCGGAGUUGUUAUCUGAACCUCCCCUAAAAAGGUGGCUAGGGUAGCAGUAGUCAUCAUCAAAGUCCACCCUGACUCUUGGUGCGUACUGGGUGUUGACCUCCUUUAGUUCUGUGAAUUGCUAUCUAGCAAUAGGUAGUUAGUUCCAGAUAGUUUACUUUGAAAAAAUUAGAGUGUUCAAAGCAGGCACAACCUGGCAUCAUGAAUACAUUAGCAUGGGAUAAUAGAAUAUGACAUUGGUCUUAUUUUGUUGGUUUCUAAGGCCAAAGUAAUGAUUGAUAGGGAUAGUUGGGGCCGCUCGUAUUGAGUUGUCAGAGGUGAAAUUCUAGGAUUUACUCAAGACGAACUAAUGCGAAAGCAUUCGGCAAGGAUGUUUUCAUUAAUCAAGAACGAAAGUUGGGGGAUCGAAGAUGAUCAGAUACCGUCGUAGUCUCAACCAUAAACUAUGUCAACCGAGGAUCCGGUAGCGUUACAUGGAUGACCUUCCGGGCACUCUGUGAGAAAUCAUAAGUAUUUGGAUUUCGGGGGGAGUAUGGUCGCAAGGCUGAAACUUAAAGGGAUUGACGGAAGGGCACCACCAGGAGUGGAAUCUGCGGCUUAAUUUGACACAACACGGGGAAACUUACCAGGUCCGGACACAGUGAGGAUUGACAGAUUGAGAGCUCUUUCUUGAUUCUGUGGGUGGUGGUGCAUGGCCGUUUUUAGUUGGUGGAGUAAUUUGUCUGGUUAAUUCCGUUAACGAACGAGACCUUAACCUAUUAAAUAGUCAUGUGAACCCAGGUCUUUCAUCCUUUCUUUCUCUCG